Molecule: ribosomal RNA, 433 nt
Filed under: uncultured bacterium
Lineage: Bacteria
Description: partial 16S ribosomal RNA
Rfam family: Bacterial small subunit ribosomal RNA
Source: RNAcentral
AACGAACGCUGGCGGCAUGCCUAACACAUGCAAGUCGAACGAGACCUUCGGGUCUAGUGGCGCACGGGUGCGUAACGCGUGGGAAUCUGCCCUUGGGUUCGGAAUAACAGUUGGAAACGACUGCUAAUACCGGAUGAUGACGUAAGUCCAAAGAUUUAUCGCCCAAGGAUGAGCCCGCGUAGGAUUAGCUAGUUGGUGAGGUAAAGGCUCACCAAGGCGACGAUCCUUAGCUGGUCUGAGAGGAUGAUCAGCCACACUGGGACUGAGACACGGCCCAGACUCCUACGGGAGGCAGCAGUGGGGAAUAUUGGACAAUGGGCGAAAGCCUGAUCCAGCAAUGCCGCGUGAGUGAUGAAGGCCUUAGGGUUGUAAAGCUCUUUUACCCGGGGUGAUAAUGACAGUACCGGGAGAAUAAGCUCCGGCUAACUCCGUG